RNAcentral lists this microRNA precursor (102 nucleotides) under Marmota monax (woodchuck). The record is from RNAcentral. Lineage: Eukaryota; Metazoa; Chordata; Mammalia; Rodentia; Sciuridae.
GAUGUAAUUGCUGGAUCAUCUGUAAAGAGUAUAUUUAGUUUUGAAAGAAACUGCCAAACUGUUCUUGAAGUGGCUGUACCAUUUUGCAUUUCUACAAGCAAU